GCGGAAGUAGCUCAGUGGUAGAGCUCCUCGUUGCCAACGAGGAGGUCGCGGGUUCAAGUCCCGUCUUCCGCUCCA
This 75-nucleotide transfer RNA is filed under the name Candidatus Rifleibacteriota bacterium. RNAcentral's name for it is "tRNA-Gly". It matches the Rfam family "tRNA". Rfam says of the family: Transfer RNA (tRNA) molecules are approximately 80 nucleotides in length. Their secondary structure includes four short double-helical elements and three loops (D, anti-codon, and T loops). The record is from RNAcentral. Lineage: Bacteria; Candidatus Rifleibacteriota.